Molecule: ribosomal RNA, 301 nt
Filed under: uncultured bacterium
Lineage: Bacteria
Description: partial 16S ribosomal RNA
Rfam family: Bacterial small subunit ribosomal RNA
Source: RNAcentral
CAGCCGCCGCGGUAAUACGUAGGGUGCAAGCGUUAAUCGGAAUUACUGGGCGUAAAGCGUGCGCAGGCGGUUAUAUAAGUCAGAUGUGAAAUCUUCGGGCUCAACCCGAAGUCUGCAUGCGAAACUGUCGGGCUUGAGUAUGGGAGAGGUGAGUGGAAUUUCCGGUGUAGCGGUGAAAUGCGCAGAGAUCUGGAGGAAUACCGGUGGCGAAGGCGGCCCCCUGGACAAAGACUGACGCUCAGGUGCGAAAGCGUGGGGGGCAAACAGGAUUAGAUACCCCAGUAGUCCCUGUCUCUUAUAC